GGGUUGUGAGGUUAAGCGACUAAGCGUACACGGUGGAUGCCCUGGCAGUCAGAGGCGAUGAAGGACGUGCUAAUCUGCGAAAAGCGUCGGUAAGGUGAUAUGAACCGUUAUAGCCGGCGAUGUCCGAAUGGGGAAACCCAGUGCAAUUCGUUGCACUAUCGUUAACUGAAUACAUAGGUUAACGAGGCGAACCGGGGGAACUGAAACAUCUAAGUACCCCGAGGAAAAGAAAUCAACCGAGAUUCCCCCAGUAGCGGCGAGCGAACGGGGAGCAGCCCAGAGUCUGAAUCAGCUUGUGUGUUAGUGGAACGGUCUGGAAAGUCCGACGGUACAGGGUGAUAGUCCCGUACACCAAAAUGCACAGGCUGUGAACUCGAAGAGUAGGGCGGGACACGUGGUAUCCUGUCUGAAUAUGGGGGGACCAUCCUCCAAGGCUAAAUACUCCUGACUGACCGAUAGUGAACCAGUACCGUGAGGGAAAGGCGAAAAGAACCCCGGCGAGGGGAGUGAAAAAGAACCUGAAACCGUGUACGUACAAGCAGUGGGAGCACCUUCGGGUGUGACUGCGUACCUUUUGUAUAAUGGGUCAGCGACUUAUAUUCUGUAGCAAGGUUAACCGUAUAGGGGAGCCGCAGGGAAACCGAGUCUUAACUGGGCGUUAAGUUGCAGGGUAUAGACCCGAAACCCGGUGAUCUAGCCAUGGGCAGGUUGAAGGUUGGGUAACACUAACUGGAGGACCGAACCGACUAAUGUUGAAAAAUUAGCGGAUGACUUGUGGCUGGGGGUGAAAGGCCAAUCAAACCGGGAGAUAGCUGGUUCUCCCCGAAAGCUAUUUAGGUAGCGCCUCGUGAACUCAUCUUCGGGGGUAGAGCACUGUUUCGGCUAGGGGGUCAUCCCGACUUACCAACCCGAUGCAAACUACGAAUACCGAAGAAUGUUAUCACGGGAGACACACGGCGGGUGCUAACGUCCGUCGUGAAGAGGGAAACAACCCAGACCGCCAGCUAAGGUCCCAAAGUCAUGGUUAAGUGGGAAACGAUGUGGGAAGGCACAGACAGCCAGGAUGUUGGCUUAGAAGCAGCCAUCAUUUAAAGAAAGCGUAAUAGCUCACUGGUCGAGUCGGCCUGCGCGGAAGAUGUAACGGGGCUAAACCAUGCACCGAAGCUGCGGCAGCGACACUAUGUGUUGUUGGGUAGGGGAGCGUUCUGUAAGCCUGCGAAGGUGUGCUGUGAGGCAUGCUGGAGGUAUCAGAAGUGCGAAUGCUGACAUAAGUAACGAUAAAGCGGGUGAAAAGCCCGCUCGCCGGAAGACCAAGGGUUCCUGUCCAACGUUAAUCGGGGCAGGGUGAGUCGACCCCUAAGGCGAGGCCGAAAGGCGUAGUCGAUGGGAAACAGGUUAAUAUUCCUGUACUUGGUGUUACUGCGAAGGGGGGACGGAGAAGGCUAUGUUAGCCGGGCGACGGUUGUCCCGGUUUAAGCAUGUAGGCUGGUUGUCCAGGCAAAUCCGGAUAAUCAAGGCUGAGGUGUGAUGACGAGGCACUACGGUGCUGAAGUAACAAAUGCCCUGCUUCCAGGAAAAGCCUCUAAGCAUCAGGUAACAU
This 1600-nucleotide ribosomal RNA is filed under the name Klebsiella pneumoniae. RNAcentral describes it as "partial 23S ribosomal RNA". It matches the Rfam family "Bacterial large subunit ribosomal RNA", at positions 1 to 1637 of the family's 2925-position model. The record is from RNAcentral. Lineage: Bacteria; Pseudomonadati; Pseudomonadota; Gammaproteobacteria; Enterobacterales; Enterobacteriaceae.